RNAcentral lists this long non-coding RNA (744 nucleotides) under Vulpes vulpes (red fox). Its description in RNAcentral is "lncRNA (ENSVVUG00000002940.1)". The record is from RNAcentral. Lineage: Eukaryota; Metazoa; Chordata; Mammalia; Carnivora; Canidae.
GAAGAAACCAACAUGCCUAUGACCCCAAAUCCUGUGGCUAACAUCAAAGUGAAUAAAAGUGGAAAUACAGCAAAAUGGCAGAAGUGAUUUUUGAUUUCUUCCCUGUCCAACCUGUGAAGGAGUGCAGAUCUACCUAGGCUUUGAGUGACCAUCUCACCACUAUGAAGGUUGAGGGAAAUAACAAGUGAGUUUUUUUUUCCUUCCCUCACCUCCGUGUACAUAAUAAACAAGCAAGCCAAGGGCAUUUUCUAGUAAAUGUGAUUGCCUGCACCAUACAACGCUCCUUUUCCAUAAUGGCUGGAAUAAAAAUGAAAGUAUGCAACAGCACCUUCAAGGGAAAUCGAGAGAGUAAACCUGAAGCAGACUGUGAGUGGAUGUGAUGGAUUGCGUUGUGAUUUGUUUGGAACCGUAAUCAGAACCCCCGAAGACCUCCACCAGAUAAUGCUGUAUUUCUACCAAGGGAAGAUUUAUACAGUUUUCCUGGCUUUGUACAGUUUUCUGAAAACUGUACAAAGGUGAAAUAGUUUGUUGAAGAGCUAUUGAUAGUAGCUCUUGAGAGUUGAAGAGUUGAAGACAAUGUAGUCAACCACCAUGGGAUUAAUAGAGUCGUAAAAUAUGGCAUGUGUGCAAAAAGGAAUAAUGGUCGGAUGGAUUGAACUAAAUCCAGGAAUGGAAGCAUGAACCGAUUUGAGGAACAUGCUGCUACCAUAAAAGAUAAAUAUGAAAUGAGUAGCAAAAUAAAAU